CCUGAGAAACCUAAAAGAUCGAAUGAGGAGAUUCAUCGUCAGUCCAUUCAGUAUAUAUGCAAGUUGCGAUAUUAUUAAUUAUCCUUGUGUUAAUUAUUGUACGUUCUUGCAUUAUUUUAUUGUUGAAUGUGAUCGGCGUGCACUUCUCCCCUAGUAGAACGUCGUGACCCGUUAAGUGUCGAUUUACGUGCCAAAUGUGGCUAGACUUUGAUUAUAAAAUUUAUUGUUGAAGACCACUGGUAUUUACUAAUCGGCUGCUUGACGGUAUAUAAUAUGGUAUUGAGCCGCAAAAUUUAUUUUUGCGUUAAACUCACCACAAGCACGAUGAGUAAUCUAGUAUUGCGGACUUAAUGCCGUCGCUGGAACUUAUCUGCUGUUAGUUAGGUGAUGUUCUUUAACUGGCUCAAAAUAUACCAGUCAACGAUGCUACUGCUUUGGGUACUUUCAGGACCCGUCUUGAAACACGGACCAAGGAGUCUAACAUGUACGCAAGUCAUUGGGAUAUAUUUUAAUAAAAACAAACCUAAAGGCGUAAUGAAAGUAAAGAUUGAAUUUAUUUCAAUUAAGGGAGGAUGUGUUAUAUUAUGAUAUAAUACCGCACUCCCGGGGUGUUUCAUUCACAUUAUGCGAAGAGGCACACCCAGAG
Molecule: ribosomal RNA, 646 nt
Filed under: Doryctorgilus morvanae
Lineage: Eukaryota; Metazoa; Arthropoda; Insecta; Hymenoptera; Braconidae
Description: eukaryotic LSU rRNA
Rfam family: Eukaryotic large subunit ribosomal RNA
Source: RNAcentral